Non-coding RNA from Arachis ipaensis, 163 nucleotides. The record is from RefSeq and is a predicted model, not a curated record. Lineage: Eukaryota; Viridiplantae; Streptophyta; Magnoliopsida; Fabales; Fabaceae.
AUAGUUAAAGCAAUAGCAGAGGCUGAAGGUCAAGCGCAUAAAGCAAUUGACUGAGGAUCAUAAAAGGAGAAUGCUUAUAGAACGGAUGCAAGGUGAAAGAGAUAAAUGGCUUGCUGCGAUCAACACAAUCUUUGGUCAUAUUGAAGAGAAGUUGCUAAAGUUA